Molecule: long non-coding RNA, 573 nt
Filed under: Pongo abelii (Sumatran orangutan)
Lineage: Eukaryota; Metazoa; Chordata; Mammalia; Primates; Hominidae
Description: lincRNA
Source: RNAcentral
AGGACCCAGGGUACACAGGGUGGGUGGCUGUUCUCCAGAAAUGUCAGUUUCUGGGCAGGGCUUAGGUGUCUGCCGUCCCUAGUCCCACCCCGGCCUUGCAUUCCAGCUCAGCGGGUGGAAGGUAUAAAUUUCAGCUGCUCUCAGCCCUGCUGUGUUUUUCCAAAGCCUUCCAACAGCAACAUGAAGUUGGCAGCCUUCCUCCUCCUUGUGAUCCUCAUCAUCUUCAGCCUAGAAUUACAAGAGCUUCAGGCUGCAGUGAGACCGUUGCAGCUUUUGGGUACCUGCGUCGAGCUCUGCACAGGUGACUGGGACUGCAACCCCGGAGACCACUGUGUCAGCAAUGGGUGUGGCCAUGAGUGUGCUGCAGAGUAAGGACAGAUGAAGAGUUAUCUUAAGGAUCAUCUUUCUCUAAGAUCGUCAUCCCUUUCUGGAGUUCCUAUCUUCCAAGAUGUGACUGUCUGGAGUUCCUUGACUAGGAAGAUGGAUGAAAACAGCAAGCCUGUGGAUGGAGACUAUAGGGGAUAUGGGAGGCAGGGAAGAGGGGUUGUUUCUUUUAAUAAAGCAUCAUUGUUA